UUCUCUCAUUUUUAUUUUGGAGGUUGUCUCGUAAGCUUUCAAUUAGCUUUUUCAAUGCAAAGUAUCAGCGUCAUCUUCCAUUCCUACAACAAAAUUGUAGUUUUAUUAAUGGUUAAAGUAUCAAAUAAGUCCCUAUUAUAGUGAUCAUUAUCACAUUUGGCUCUCUAUAGUUAAGUUGAUUCAAUUAAACCCUCAUACUAUCUAAAAUCAAAUAAUUGGGCCCUCUGCCCAAACGGCGACUUAACAGCCGUUAUCUAUUUUAAUUUUUUUUUAAGUUUAACACAGUUAAUUUUUCGUCGAAAACACACCGUAGGUUUUGACUGGAUGAAGCCAAAGCAACCCGCCUGAGUUUUGACCGUAAAAUUGGCCGGAAACACACUAGAUGCAACCAAAGCAAUCACCGCCUAGGGUUUCGCGCCGCCACUGAGCGUCACCGCUACCUGCACAGCCUCCGUCCGCUUGUCGCUGACUACCUUCUGAAUUCGCUACCGGACAAAUACGCAACGAGAAGGAGGCGCGAUUAAAAUCGCGGGCAUCUCCCCGUCUAAAAAAUGACAAGCCCACGUCUGAAAUCACGCUGCCCACGCUGCGAUUCAGAACUUCGCGCCGCCUCACAGCAACCCCAGCAACGACAACUCCGUUGGAAAUCGUUCACGGCGGUUGGGCUGGCAAGAUUUGCCGGAGCAAAACCCAGCCCCCAAUCGCCGUCGACUCCCAGACGAAC
RNAcentral lists this long non-coding RNA (724 nucleotides) under Salvia miltiorrhiza (redroot sage). RNAcentral's name for it is "long non-coding RNA (SMIL_LNC010370)". The record is from RNAcentral. Lineage: Eukaryota; Viridiplantae; Streptophyta; Magnoliopsida; Lamiales; Lamiaceae.